UGCGUAGGCUGAAUAGUCAGUCAGUGGUGAAAUCCUACAGCUUAACUGUAGAACUGCCAUUGAUACUGCUAUUCUUGAGUUCAGUUGAGGUAGGCGGAAUGUGUAGUAUAGCGGUGAAAUGCUUAGAUAUUACACAGAACACCGAUUGCGAAGGCAGCUUACUAAACUGACACUGACGCUGAGGCACGAAAGCGUGGGGAGCGAACAGGAUUAGAUACCCUGGUAGUCC
This 229-nucleotide ribosomal RNA is filed under the name uncultured bacterium. RNAcentral's name for it is "partial 16S ribosomal RNA". It matches the Rfam family "Bacterial small subunit ribosomal RNA", at positions 568 to 796 of the family's 1533-position model. The record is from RNAcentral.